UCGGGAUGGAAACGGUUUCAAGAUAUUUGGACAUCAACCGGACCUUCACCCUAAUAUGCUGCUUCUCCUCCAUUUUCUUGCAAGCAGGUAAAUUUCAUUUUCAGUUUCUGUGACAAUGAGUAUAAGCUAUGCUUCGCUUUCUUAUUAAGAAGUGUAUUGUGAAAAAAAAAACGCCUAUAAAACAGUAAAAAAGAAGACAGUUUCGGGCAAGUUUUUUUUUUUUUUCCUAAUUGUGGCUUUAAUUGUAGCAAGCUUGCUUUUUUAGUUUAGUCAAUGCAACUUAACUCCAUCACAAAAUGGUGUGUUUGCAAUCUUUAUUUCCACAAUGUUUAUCUUUCAUGCCCUUCAGAAGGGAGCACCACUUCCUGGAUGGUCGGGAGCACAGUGACCCUGCACUGUAGCAAUAACUCAAUCAGCGACCUCCUUCAACUGACAUGGAGAAGGAAUGGGACUCUUCUGUUUAGUUUCAGGCCACAGAAAACCUCAAACAACAGCUCUGUCACCUUAAGCAGUAAUCAGAAAACAUCAGACAGCAGAAUAAUAGGGUCUCAUGCAGCUGCCAUCCUGAAUCUAAGCAUAUCCACCUUAAAAAGCCAACUGUAUGCACUAAUCAUAGAGGGAGCCCAGAAAUAUCACGAAGGAAACUACAUUUGUGAAAUGACCACAGACUCAGGAGUCUUUGAACAGAAAUGGGAGCUCAUGAUUACAGAAGAAGCUGAAGCUGGAAAUAAAUUGAAAAUCCAUAUUGCUGCAAUCAUGGUACCUUGUGUGUGUUUCCUGAUCUUUAUCAUUUGUGCUUUGACCUUUCUGAGACAAAUCUGCAAAAGACAGUCAGAAAAUAUCACCCAACUGACUGUGACAUUGGUAAAUAGAAUACUUUCCCUACUCUCUGCUGAGAAGUUAGAUUUUAGACAAUUUGCAGAUACAUAUUUGAAAAUCCAACAGAUCUGCCAUCCUCUCCAUUUUAGGCAAUACUGA
This is a long non-coding RNA of Oreochromis niloticus (Nile tilapia), 978 nucleotides long. Lineage: Eukaryota; Metazoa; Chordata; Actinopteri; Cichliformes; Cichlidae. The record is from Ensembl.